Long non-coding RNA from Diabrotica virgifera virgifera (western corn rootworm), 2348 nucleotides. RefSeq lists it as uncharacterized. The record is from RefSeq and is a predicted model, not a curated record. The transcript has 2 exons. Lineage: Eukaryota; Metazoa; Arthropoda; Insecta; Coleoptera; Chrysomelidae.
UUCUUUGGAUAUGCUUUUGUGAAUCUGGUGUCCAUUGAUAGUCCGAUUUUGGAUGAAGUGUCCGAUUCUUCACUUAUUUAUUUAUAUGAUUUAGUAUUGAUGUGAAUUGGUCCAUAAAUCUUCCUGGUCGUUCUUCAUUGGAUAUGCUUUUGUGAAUCUGGUGUCCAUUGAUAGUCCGACUUUGGAUUGAGUGUCCGAUUCCACAUUUAUUUUGGUUACUGUAUUUGCAUUCCUUUGGUAUGUUUAGUAUUUAUAUUAUUUGGUAUUGGUGAGAAUUGCUCCAUAAAUAUUCCUGAUUGUUCUUCUCUGGAUAUGCUAUUACGAAUCUGGUGUCCAUUGCUAGUUCAAUUUAGGAUUGAGUGUUCGAUUCUUCACUUAUUCUAGUUAUUGAUUUAUUGGGUCUUAUUUUAGUAUAUUUACUUGUGUUAUUCUACGAAUUGGCUCACACCUUUGCCUGGUUGUCCGUCCUUGGAUAUACCCAUUAUAAAUCUGAUGUCCAUGGAUAGUUCAACUUUGGAUUUAGUGCCAAUUCGACACUUAUUUGUCAUUAUAAAUUAUGUCUCAUCUUUAGGUUGUUUGGCUUUUAAGAAAAAAAAACCAGUCACUUUUACUAGGACUUCGGGUCACAUAUUGCAAUUUCUGUUAUUUGCUGCAGUGACCAUCCUACCUUCCCUUGAUUAUUAGUUGUGAUUAUUUGUAAUCUUGCGAAUCAGCGGGGAAUGAUACACUACCACUACUUUAGUUUAAUACUUUGGAAAAAAAAAAAAAUAUUCGAUUAAAUUUUUUUUUUCUCGUAGUCGACGGGGAAUGUGGCGUUCCGCCCCUUAUAGAAUCAAGUAUUGUUGGGAAGAUAAUAUUUAAUCAUUGAAAAUAUUAUUUAAAUAUUUUCGGGAUUAAUUUCUUUCAAUGUUUAUUAAGAUACAACGUAAAGCAAAAACAUAAUUGUUAAAUGCUUACUGAUGUCACAUUUAAACGUGGCAACCUUGGUUCCCUCGCGUUGACAGUUAAUGAUUAGGAGAGGGGUACGAAGAACUUCAGCUGGUAACUGAAGGCCGUGAACGGGUCAUUGUUCUCCAGUGUACGGUCUAGGUAGCGGGGUCGUUUGAACGAAAUUAUUCACCUAUAAUUCAAAGUUCCAAAUGUAUUAAAGAUUACCAUAAAUACUAUAGUGAAGUUAUCCAGCAGUGAACAGUGAAGUUGAAGAAUUUUGGAGAAUAUUAUAUACAAUGAGUUCCGCCCCGCACCUACCAUGAAAUCUUAAGGUCACCUAACAACCACACCAAGGCCAGACCACACUGAGAGAAACAAUCACUAGGCGACCAGCCUGGAUUAUUUCCACACAUUUUCGUUUGAGUACCUCCAGCUGCUUUCCACCAGUCUUGAGUACCUUCAGCUGCUUUCUACCAGUCUUCCUCUCCUGUACCUCCAGCAGGACAGCUGCUAGCGAGAGUUAGCACCCUUGGGUGCUCAUUACAUCAACUCGAAGAUUGUGUAAAAGGGGUUUGUUUGGGAACAGUUACUGUGCUAUUAGUAAAGACAGACUGUUUUUGUGAUAUUUAGUACAUUUUUAUAGUUCGAUUGCACACACAUUUUUCUUGUUUUAUAUUUUAUGGUAUUUUUUCCUUAACAACAUAAUAUUUAAUUAAUAGCGUUCCCCAAUACUCUGCAAUAUCUAAGGUAAAGAUCUCUGAGCUCAGAUAUUUUCCCCUACAAUAGUAGUCGGUACUCCUAUUUUGAUUAUUUUUAUGCUGGUUUCCAUUUUUAUAUAAUUAUUUAAACUCAUUUCAUUAUUUUAGUAUAGGUUGAAUUAGAUUUUUCAAAAUUAACUUCAGACAUUAUUCAAAAUUUCAAUUAUUAACUUUAUUUUAACUUUAACUCAUUAAAUUCCUAUAAACUUCUGGACUCGAUUCCCUCAGAAUCGUUUCUGGUUUCACUUGCUAUUAUUAUUAUAAACUACGAGUUAGAAAAGGAUCUGUUGUAUCCAACCGUAAGUUUAUUUAUUCGAUAAAGGCUUGUGCCUGUCCAACUCACAUUGAGUUAUUUAUAUAUUAUUUACCAUAUCAGGUAGUAUUUAAUUAAGGUGUACGUAUUAUAAACGUACAAUUAUUAGUUGGUGAAGGUUCUACUAACCUAGGUGUAAGUUGUACUUUCUGUAUUAGAGGUACCCUUCUUCAGAUUUUCUAACCUUAUUAAGAUUAUUCUUAGAUCACAUUUGUGUGAUAAUUUUGUAAUUGACUUUCACUAGUAUCAUUUUUUUUGUCAUUUUAGAGUCACAAACUAGUUACUUGUCUUAACUCGGAGAUUGUGAACAUCUAGUAGUUAAAUUUAAUAAAUUUAUAUUUAUUGUG